GGCGCCGUAGCUUAGUUGGUAAAGCGCCUGUCUUGUAAACAGGAGAUCGAGUGUUCGAAUCCCUCCGGUGCCU
This 73-nucleotide transfer RNA is filed under the name Blattella germanica (German cockroach). RNAcentral's name for it is "tRNA-Thr (TGT) (tRNA-Thr-TGT-11-1)". It matches the Rfam family "tRNA". From Rfam's summary of the family: Transfer RNA (tRNA) molecules are approximately 80 nucleotides in length. Their secondary structure includes four short double-helical elements and three loops (D, anti-codon, and T loops). Lineage: Eukaryota; Metazoa; Arthropoda; Insecta; Blattodea; Blattellidae. The record is from RNAcentral.